The submitters of this non-coding RNA (87 nucleotides) gave its source as unclassified sequences. The record is from Rfam.
GAUUGAUAAGUUUACGGAUUUAUCAACAUGUCCUUGAGUUCAAGGGAGCCUUAAUCCUGCGCUUUAAGCGUAAACACAUGAACAGGC